CGACGGCGUGCCUAUUGAAGAAUGAACCGGCGAGUUACUUCAGCUAGCGAGGUUAAGCGGAAAACGUGGAGCCGAAGCGAAAGCGAGUCUGAACAGGGCGUAUAGUUAGUUGGAGUAGACCCGAAACCACAGUGAUCUACCCAUGUCCAGGUUGAAGCACAGGUAAAAAUGUGUGGAGGACCGAACCAGUGAGCGUUGAAAAGCUUUUGGAUGAGAUGUGGGUAGGGGUGAAAUGCCAAUCGAACGUGGAGAUAGCUGGUUCUCCCCGAAAUAGCUUUAGGGCUAGCCUCAUGGCGAGAGUACAGGCGGUAGAGCACUGAACGGGGUAGGGGCCUAUCCGGCUACUGAACCUAAUCAAACUGCGAAUGGCUGUACUUAUCCAUGGGAGUCAGACUGUGAGUAAUAAGGCCCAUAGUCAAGAGGGAAACAGCCCAGACCAACAGCUAAGGUCCCCAAUGCCGUACUAAGUGGCGAAGGAUGUGGAAUUUCGAAAACAACCAGGAUGUUGGCUCAGAAGCAGCCACCAUUAAAAGAGUGCGUAAUAGCUCACUGGUCGAGAGACUCUGCGCCGAAGAUGUCCGGGGCUAAAGUACGGAACCGAAGCUUUGGCAAUUGACAUUAGUCAAUUGGGUAGGGGAGCGUUCCUGCAUGGGAGAAGCCUGACCGGAAGGACAGGUGGACAGGCAGGAAGAGAGAAUGCCGGUAUGAGUAGCGAAAAGAAGGGUGAGAAUCCCUUCCACCGAAAGCCUAAGGGUUCCUGGGCAACGAUCGUCGUCCCAGGGUAAGUCGGGACCUAAUCCGAGGCGGAGACGCGUAGGAGAUGGACAACAGGUUGAAAUUCCUGUACUGGCUGAGGCCGUUUGAGCGAAGGAGUGACACAGGAAGGAAGGCGCGCGUGCGAUUGGAAGAGCACGUCCAAGCAGGUAGGUUGGGAGACAGGCAAAUCCGUUUCCCAUGAGGCCGAGAUGCGAUGGGGAGCUUCUGGAGACAGAAGCGAAGGGGCUGGCACUAAACUGUCGAGAAAAGCUUCUAGUGAGGACUCAGGCACCCGUACCGAAACCGACACAGGUAGGCAGGAUGAGAAUUCUAAGGUGCGCGGGAAAACCCUCGUUAAGGAACUCGGCAAAAUAUAUCCGUAACUUCGGGAAAAGGAUAACCCAGCGUACGUGAAGUGCAGAAGCGCACGGAGCGGAGAUGGGUGGCAGAAGAGAGGCCCAAGCGACUGUUUACCACAAACACAGGCGUCUGCUAAAGCGAAAGCUGAUGUAUAGAUGCUGACACCUGCCCGGUGCUGGAAGGUUAAGAGGAAGUGUUAGCGCAAGCGAAGCAGUGAAUUGAAGCCCCAGUAAACGGCGGCCGUAACUAUAACGGUCCUAAGGUAGCGAAAUUCCUUGUCGGGUAAGUUCCGACCCGCACGAAAGGUGUAACGAUUUGGGCACUGUCUCAACGAGGGACCCGGUGAAAUUGAAGUACCUGUGAAGAUGCAGGUUACCCGCGACUGGACAGAAAGACCCCAUGGAGCUUUACUGUAACCUGAGAUUGGAUUCCGGUAAGAGAUGUACAGGAUAGUUGGGAGGCUUAGAUACAAGUACGCCAGUAUUUGUGGAGCCGCUGGUGGGAUACCAACCUUGUUUUAUUGGAAUUCUAACGAGAAGCGUAACGAGCUUGCGGACAGUCUCAGGCGGGCAG
RNAcentral lists this ribosomal RNA (1689 nucleotides) under Megasphaera elsdenii. RNAcentral describes it as "partial 23S ribosomal RNA". It matches the Rfam family "Bacterial large subunit ribosomal RNA", at positions 594 to 2268 of the family's 2925-position model. The record is from RNAcentral. Lineage: Bacteria; Bacillati; Bacillota; Negativicutes; Veillonellales; Veillonellaceae.